This 249-nucleotide long non-coding RNA is filed under the name Mytilus galloprovincialis (Mediterranean mussel). Lineage: Eukaryota; Metazoa; Mollusca; Bivalvia; Mytilida; Mytilidae. The record is from RNAcentral.
CACCAUCAAUCUUUAAAAAAGAAUGUUAUUUUGAAACAGAGUUGUGAACAUCUUUCGGGUAAAUUGGGUGUCUUUAGGCAGUACGCAAUCUGUCUAGAUCUUUAGUUUAAAGUGCAUGUUUUUUUUUUAAAUACAUUUUGUUUGAUUUUUUAUACUUGGCCAAUUAAGGAAAAGAGCUUAAAAGAAUGGUGUAAGGAAAAUAACUUAAAAACCUCGUAAUAUGGCAAAAUUAUUACCAAUAAUGCAGAG